RNAcentral lists this ribosomal RNA (605 nucleotides) under uncultured Methanobacteriales archaeon. RNAcentral's name for it is "bacterial SSU rRNA". It matches the Rfam family "Archaeal small subunit ribosomal RNA", at positions 318 to 922 of the family's 1478-position model. Lineage: Archaea; Methanobacteriati; Methanobacteriota; Methanobacteria; Methanobacteriales. The record is from RNAcentral.
AGGCCCUACGGGGCGCAGCAGGCGCGAAACCUCCGCAAUGCACGCAAGUGCGACGGGGGAACCCCAAGNGCCACUCUUAACGGGGNGGCUUUUCAGAAGUGUAAAAAGCUUCUGGAAUAAGGGCUGGGCAAGACCGGUGCCGGCCGCCGCGGCAACACCGGCAGCUCAAGUGGUAGCCGCUUUUAUUGGGCCUAAAGCGUCCGUAGCCGGUCCGAUAAGUCUCUGGUGAAAUCCCGCAGCUUAACUGUGGGAAUUGCUGGAGAUACUAUCAUGACUCGAGGUCGGGAGAGGCUGGAGGUACUCCCAGGGUAGGGGUGAAAUCCUGUAAUCCUGGGAGGACCACCUGUGGCGAAGGCGUCCAGCUGGAACGAACCUGACGGUGAGGGACGAAAGCCAGGGGCGCGAACCGGAUUAGAUACCCGGGUAGUCCUGGCCGUAAACGAUGUGGACUUGGUGUUGGGAUGGCUUCGAGCUGCCCCAGUGCCGAAGGGAAGCUGUUAAGUCCACCGCCUGGGAAGUACGGCCGCAAGGCUGAAACUUAAAGGAAUUGGCGGGGGAGCACCACAACGCGCGGAGCCUGCGGUUUAAUUGGAUUCAACGCCGGG